GAUGAACGCUGGCGGCGUGCUUAACACAUGCAAGUCGAGCGAAGCAUAUAAGCGGAAGUUUUCGGAUGGAAGCAGAUAUGACUGAGCGGCGGACGGGUGAGUAACGCGUGGGUAACCUGCCUCAUACAGGGGGAUAACAGUUAGAAAUGACUGCUAAUACCGCAUAAGCGCACAGGACCGCAUGGUCAAGUGUGAAAAACUCCGGUGGUAUGAGAUGGACCCGCGUCUGAUUAGCUGGUUGGUGAGGUAACGGCCCACCAAGGCGACGAUCAGUAGCCGACCUGAGAGGGUGGCCGGCCACAUUGGGACUGAGACACGGCCCAA
RNAcentral lists this ribosomal RNA (324 nucleotides) under uncultured bacterium. Its description in RNAcentral is "bacterial SSU rRNA". It matches the Rfam family "Bacterial small subunit ribosomal RNA", at positions 28 to 334 of the family's 1533-position model. The record is from RNAcentral.